Molecule: ribosomal RNA, 442 nt
Filed under: uncultured bacterium
Lineage: Bacteria
Description: partial 16S ribosomal RNA
Rfam family: Bacterial small subunit ribosomal RNA
Source: RNAcentral
CCUACGGGAGGCAGCAGUGGGGAAUCUUGCACAAUGGGCGAAAGCCUGAUGCAGCAACGCCGCGUGAGCGAAGAAGGCCUUUGGGUCGUAAAGCUCUGUCUGAAGGGAAGAAGGAAGUGACGGUACCUUAGGAGGAAGCCUCGGCUAACUACGGGCCAGCAGGCGCGGUAAUCCGGAGGGGGCAAGCGUUAUCCGGAAGUAUUGGGCGUAAAGAGUACGUAGGCGGUUCAUUAAGCGCAGGGUUAAAGGGGAUAGCUUAACUACCGUUCGCCCUGUGAACUGGGGGACUUGAGUAUCGGAGAGGAAAGAGGAAUUCCUAGUGUAGCGGUGAAAUGCGUAGAUAUUAGGAAGAACACCAGUGGCGAAGGCAGCUUUCUGGACGAAAACUGACGCUGAGGUACGAAAGCGUGGGGAGCAAACAGGAUUAGAUACCCUUGUAGUC